RNAcentral lists this ribosomal RNA (397 nucleotides) under Enterobacter roggenkampii. RNAcentral describes it as "bacterial SSU rRNA". It matches the Rfam family "Bacterial small subunit ribosomal RNA", at positions 1 to 394 of the family's 1533-position model. The record is from RNAcentral. Lineage: Bacteria; Pseudomonadati; Pseudomonadota; Gammaproteobacteria; Enterobacterales; Enterobacteriaceae.
AAAUUGAAGAGUUUGAUCAUGGCUCAGAUUGAACGCUGGCGGCAGGCCUAACACAUGCAAGUCGAGCGGCAGCGGAAAGUAGCUUGCUACUUUGCCGGCGAGCGGCGGACGGGUGAGUAAUGUCUGGGAAACUGCCUGAUGGAGGGGGAUAACUACUGGAAACGGUAGCUAAUACCGCAUAACGUCGCAAGACCAAAGAGGGGGACCUUCGGGCCUCUUGCCAUCAGAUGUGCCCAGAUGGGAUUAGCUAGUAGGUGGGGUAACGGCUCACCUAGGCGACGAUCCCUAGCUGGUCUGAGAGGAUGACCAGCCACACUGGAACUGAGACACGGUCCAGACUCCUACGGGAGGCAGCAGUGGGGAAUAUUGCACAAUGGGCGCAAGCCUGAUGCAGCCA